Molecule: long non-coding RNA, 6409 nt
Filed under: Sus scrofa (pig)
Lineage: Eukaryota; Metazoa; Chordata; Mammalia; Artiodactyla; Suidae
Description: lncRNA (ENSSSCG00025050271.1)
Source: RNAcentral
GAGUGAAGGCUGUGGGCCCUUCUGUAAUCAGGGGCCAGAGGUUUCUAGAUCUCCAAGCUCUGGUUCCAUGAGGUGUGCCGAGCACCCACCCAUCUAUCAGGAUUCCUAUAGCCCAGUGAGGCCAUAGAGAUCCACUCAAGCCAGUGUCUGGAGGAAAAGGGUUUAGUUCUGGGUAGGUGAGGGGAGGAGCAGAUAAGCCGAGAAGAGCAGAGCCUCAGGAGGAGGUGCUAGAGACCCUAGAGUGGGCCGUGUGCAUGUCACCUCCAUUCUGGGAGGUGAGAAGGCAGUGCGGGAGUCUCCUGAAUGUCCAAGAGAAUGGCCAUGCUUACUCCUGGGAGCUGCUCCUCCCGCUUCCCCACCAUCAAGGGAAUUCCAGAUGUGAGAGAAUUCCACCGUCCUUCUUGGAUGCUGUCCAGGGUGUUCUGAAGAGUAGCCCUAUGGAUAGAGAGCCCUCCUUCAGGCAAUCUGGGGAGCGCACACCCUUUGUCAGAACUUUCCAGGGGCCGGUGGCAGUGAAUGGCUGAUGUACAGGCUCUACUGCUGCCACCCUAGUGACUAAGCAGUGCUAUUUCUUUAUUUUGUUUUUUGUUUGUUUAUUUGUGGGGGUUUUUGUUUGUUUGUUUUUGUUUUGCUUUUUUAGAGCCACACCUGCGCGGCAUAUGGAGGUUCCCAGACUAGGGGCCAAAUCGGAGCUGCAGCUGCCGGGUAACACCACACCACAGCAAUGCCAGAUCUGAGCCGAAUCUUCGACCUACACAACAGCUCACAGCAAUGCCAGAUCCUUAACCAACUGAGCAAGGUCAGGGAUUGAACCUGAGUCCCCAUAGAUAUUAAUCAGGUUUGUAACCUAUUGAGCCACAAUGGGAAUUUCUAGCAGUGUUAUUUCUGAGCCUCAGUUUCCCCAUCCCUCACAGGGCCUCCCAAGGGAAGACAUCUGGAGAACUGGACUGUCUGUUCUGCCCUGCCCCCUCCCAUCCCUGCCUCUGUGGGAACUCCAGGCCCCAGAUGUGGGGUGAUGCUCUGACAAGGAACAUCUGUUGAGGAAGCUGACCCCUGGGGUUGGGGAUGAUGGCAGCCCUCUGGCGGCUCAGGGUUGAUAUAGGGCAGCAUCACUGCCUGGGGAGUGAUGUCCAGCCUCUCGAGGUCUGGAACUUGGGAAUAGUCAGACCCUUCCCUAAGGCAGGUCAUUCAGGGGUCUCAGGGCCGAGGAGUUGGAAUCUUCGAGUAUAUUAGUGGGCACGAGGGGGGUUCGGGAUGGGGCAUUAUACACCACUCACGCAAUGUGAACUCAGGCUCCGACUGUAGAAACAGCAGGGGUGGGAGGUGAGAGGGAUCUGUUUCUUUCGCAGGCCCUGUGGCUCCAACCCUCCAGUAGAAACCCAAACAGAAAGAGGCAGCUCUCACUCAGUUGAUCUGAUCCAGGGAGCCCCUGAGAUUCUGCCCAGACACAAACACCUGCAACAGGAUCUCAGCAUCCUGCCGGUAAGACCCUUUCCCCACCCCACGCCGUUCAGGUUUCAUGCAGGACCCACUUCCGUCCCCUCAGACCAGAGGAGACAACUGAGGAAGACGUAGGCCUCAUGAAGGACCCGAAGCCGAAAGUAGGUAGCAAUACUGGACAAAGCGUCGUGGACCCCUAUCCCCCAGCUCUGGGAAGCCCCUGGAGCCAUUUGAACUUGGGGUGGAGGCUUGGGGCAGGAGGGGCGGGGCCAAUUAGUGAAGGGGCGGAACCAGAGGUAGAGGGUAGUCGGAGUCUGGAACUGGGCGGGGGGAGAGGUAGAAAUGGGCGGGGCUUAUCCUUAGAGACCGAGACUGCCGGGGAAGAGCAGGGAAAACAAAGCUUUAAGGCUAGUCGGACAGAGGGAGGGGACCGUGAACGGAGAGGGCGUGGUCAGGACCGAGAAGCUAGGUCUAUCCAGCUGAACAGCUGAAAUGCGGGCAAAGCCGCAGCUGUGAUUCUGAACACCGAGGCCUGCAGCGCCAGCAUAAAGGUGCCCAGGCGGCAACGCGGGCUCGGAGGACGUAGCCCAAAGACCCGCAGAUCCAUCAAGGGUCAGUCUAGAAAGUGCUUCUGCAACUGUGGACAGGUGGGCUGCUUCAAAACUGAUGCCAAACCAGGACUGCCACGGGGACGGUCACUAAUGACGGGUUUCCCGAUCCUAGGAACGACCCGUAGCGUGGUCAGCCAGUGGACGCCCUCAGCUAGAUUUCACUGAGACAGGGCGGGAUCGGUGGCCUGGAAGAUGGAAACUUCUUUCCAGCAGGUUUGAUAUAUCUACACCACCACAUCAGGGGCACAAAAUGAACGAAGCCAGAGGUGUUCAGCCGGAAGAGGAAUUCCCUGCAGAGAGGAAUUCCCUCUCGCUGUCACUCAUGGCCCCUGAGUCCUACCCACAAGUGGUCCUUAUUCUAGGUCUCGCCACCUGCCUCUUACUACAUCACCUACGUCCUGUGUCUCCUCCCUCCUUCCCCGUCCUCGAGCUGCCAGUCAUCCUUCCCCGGCCCCUGCGGACAGUCAUUGAGUCCCCUUCCCACUGGGCUCUCCUAGCAGCCUAGCAUCCGCCAUCUCCAGCCCUACCUUAGUCCGGUUGGUUAUCGCUGGCCACGCCCCGCUCGCCUAGCUGAGCCCGCCCACCGGCCCCGCCCCCACCCUGAGGCUCCUCCUCAAACGCUCUGCCCGCGGCCCGCCCCUUGCCCUGUCCCUCACUCCAGCGCUGCCUUCACAAGACACGCUAAACCCUCGCCCUGGCUCCAGCCUCACCCUUUCGGCCAUCUGGGGUGCCGUCCCCUCCCUAGCCCUGACCUCACUGUCAUCCUGCUCACCCCUGCACGCUCCAGCCGAGCCCCCACCCUGUCACCCAAGUCCAGCCCCCGCAGGCAGAGCUCCCUUCCCCCUAGAUCCACCCAAAGUCCUGCCAUUCCUCUCCCGCCCGCGCCACGUCCAGCCUCGCCGCAGCUGCCACGCAGGCCCGCCCCCUCCGGCCAGCUCAGGUCAGUGAGGGUGAGGGUGACCUCACCACGUGGUCAGUGAGGGUGCCAGCCGGAACCCCCAAGUUGCUGGCUGCUGCGGAGGCAGAGAAGGCGAAGGCGUUCCCCUAGCGGGGCAUGUCCGUGUGGCCAGCACGUCCUGACCACAGGAAGGGCACGGAGCGGCCAGAGGGGUAUUCGAACUCUCCUCAAGCCGAGUUGGGAGAAGGGAGCUGGGGGUGGGGGUUCUUCAGAACUUGCUGCAUCAGAUCCCCAGGGCCUGAGGCCUAGACUUCAUCACCACCACCCCCGACCUGGGCAGAGGUAUUCCAACGACAUGUAAAGGACUCUCCGGGUUAAUAUCAGGGGCAGUGAAGAUGAGCCCCUGGAAGGUCCAUAUCUAGGAUUCAGCUCCAUCCUCUGCUGGUUUCAGAUCCUCUAGGAAGUAGCCUCAGUUUCCACAUUCCUAUAAUGUCAAUCACACCCAGGCACUGCUGGGGGCCAGGAGGGUGAAUGCAGUGGUCAAGCCAGGAUUCUAUGAGAGGUGCCCACAGUAGUGAUGUAUUCCAGCCCAGGGACUGAAUUCACGCUGCAGUUGCAACCUGUGCCAGUGCGGCAACACCAAGUCCUUAACCCACUAGCCACAAGGGAACUUCCAAGACUCAUUUAUUCCCUCUCGCAUGUUUCCAUGCGAAGAAGGCUUUACUAGAGCAAUACACCUCACUUCUCACUUGCAGACUUAAACUAUAAUCUACAAACAAGCUUAUCAAUAAUCAUGGCCUUAGCGAUAUCUCCAGUUCCACAUGUUCUUUUCACAAUGUGAUCUUGACAUGCCUGCCAUCAAAGGGUGGCAGCCAUCUCCCCAUUCCUUCAACCAGAGUGCACUUUUGUGACAGCCUUAAACAUAGGACAUUGUGGAGUUCCCUCGUGGCUCAGCAGGUUAAGGGUCCAGCGUUGUCACUGCUGUGGCACAGGACACAGCUGUGGUGUGGGUUCCAUCCCUGGCCCUGGGAAUGUCUGCAUUACACAGGCAUGACCAAAAACAAAAAACAAAAAAACCGAUAGGACAUGGUAAAAGUGAUGCUGUGACCUCCAAAGCAAGGGGCAGAAAAUGCCAGAAUUCUCUUGUGGCACAGGAGGUUAAGAAUCUGGUGUUGUCCCUAAAAAAAAAAAAAAAAAAAAAAAGGCGAGAAAAUCUGGUAUUGUCACUGUAGUGGAUUGAGGCAUGUGGAAGUUCCAGGGCCAGGGACUGAACAUUCUUGUGAGAAAUGUAGAUAACAUAAGCUCUACCCUCCUGGCAAGUUUUCAGGUGUACAUACAAUACAACACAAUAUUAAAUACAGGCCCUGUGUUUGCCUUGUAUUACUGAGGCUUUGUACCUUUUGACCAACACUGCAUGUUUGUUCGUUUGGCUUUUUGUUGUUGUUCUCUUGUAUAGUUCCUAUUUCUCUGCUGAGAACGUCUGUUUUUCCAGUCAUUCUAAAGCAUCCCUCUCUCCCUCCUGGUUUACUGUUAUAAUAGCUGCUUUGAAGUCUUUGUCUGAAAAUCCAACAUCUGGGUCUUUUCACGGUUGGCAUCUAUGGACUGUCUCUUGCUUUGGCAAUUGGUUUGGAUGUUCCUCACUGAGUAACUUGGUAUUGUAUCCUGGACAUUUUCAGUAUUAUCUUGUGAGACUCUGGACUCUGUUAAAAGCCUCUGGAGUAUUUAUGUAUUGACUAGUAGCAGGCAAACCUGGUUAGGUUCAUACAGCAUGUUCUGUGUCACCUUCUGUAGGCAGUAAUUCUAAUCUGUUUUAGUUUCAUAGCUUUGCUAUGCUGUUUAAGUCUACCUGGCGCAGGGGUCAGGGUGGGACUUGGGCAGUGGUUUACAUGGUGGGUCAAUACGCCGAGCCUUGUUCACCCUUCUUGAGGGGUCUUCCACACAGGCUCAGCUUGGGGUUAAGCCCAGGACUUCUGUUGUUUCAUAUACAGAAUUAGAGGGUUUCCUUUAUCCAUUUUCUCUUCUCUAGGAUUUUGUCUCUGGCUCGGUGGGGGUGGGAGUGGGGGAAGCAUUUUCUGUUUGUUCUUCUGGUCAGAAAUGUGAAGUUCUCUCGGAGUUUUUUGUUUGUUUGGUUUUGGCUAGGGGUCCAAUCAGAGCUACAGCUGCCAGCCUACACCACAGCCACAGCAAUGCCAGAUCUGAGCCACGUCUGUAACCUACACCGCAGCUCACAGCAACGCCGGAUCCUUAACCCACUGAGCGGGGCCAGGGAUCGAACCUGCAACCUGACGGUUCCUAGUCGGAUUUGUUUCCGCAGCACCACGAUAGGAACUCCUCUCUCAGAGUUCUAACCUCCGGUACCAUGGUAAGAUUCCUCACCACUGGGCUUAGCCCCUCAGGUCAAAGCAUCAAGAGAAAAGAGAACAAUGAGGAUUCAUCCCCACACUACUUACAUUACGGGUCUUUUUUCCAAGUUCUUUUCUCCUGGGGGUGGGUUUUCUCAAGCCGUUUUUCUCAAUAGCUUUGAGAACCACAGAGCCGACUGGGGCUGCCCUGCGACAGGGCCAGGUAGGAGCAAAGAUUAAGUAAAAAUAUUAACAAGGAAUUUUUUCACACUCUCCAAUCCCUAGGGGUCCAUUUUCCUCAUUCUCUGACCAGGACGUUGGGCUUUUUGCUGUCUGUGUCAGCUGUGCACUUUCCUUGCUCAGAGUACCUUGGGUCCAAGCAAGGAGAUACAGGGGAGAAACUGACCAGGAAACUCACCAUUGCUUGCGAGGUGUUCUUCACAUUUUGACUUUUCACUCCAACCUGCUAGUAUGUACUUUGCAGUAUUCUUAAGUGGUUGCUUUUUGUAUUUGUCCAGAGUUUUGUUCUGGGGUUUUUUUUUGGUUGUUUUUUUGCUUCCACCUUGGCAUGUGGAAGUUCCCUGGCCAGGGAUGGAACUCUUGCCACAGCAAAGACCCCAGCUACUGCAGUGACGACGCUGUGUCCUUAACCUGCUGCACCACAGGAGAACUCUUGUCCAGAGUUUUUACUUGUAACCAGUAGGAGGAAGGGGCUUACUCCAGUUUAGCCUUCAUUCUCUUGCUCUCUCUUUUUACUUUUUUUUUUUUUCCCUCUUGAGAUAAUUUUAGACUUACAGAAGUUGCAAAAAUAGUACAGAGUUCCUGUAUGUCCUUCCCUUUUGUCAACAUCUUACAUAACAAUAGACCCCGUAUCAGAACUAAGAAAUUAUAUUUGGUUCAUUAUUAUUGACUGUUUGUGACUAUUAACUAUUUAUUGCUAUUAGCAGAGGUCAUUUGGAUUUCAUCAGUUUGCCUAUUAGUGCCCUUGUUCUGUGCUGGGGUCCGAUGUAGAAAGGAUCCUACAUCACUUUCGGUUGUCGUGUUUCCUUUGUCCCCUCCAAUCCGUGACAGUUCCUCUGUCCUUCCAUCUUUUUCAUGAUUUUUUUUUUUUUUUUUUU